This 1758-nucleotide ribosomal RNA is filed under the name Staphylococcus aureus M0790. RNAcentral describes it as "bacterial LSU rRNA". It matches the Rfam family "Bacterial large subunit ribosomal RNA", at positions 1164 to 2925 of the family's 2925-position model. RNAcentral also lists the same sequence under 1 other name. The record is from RNAcentral. Lineage: Bacteria; Bacillati; Bacillota; Bacilli; Caryophanales; Staphylococcaceae.
CCGAAAAUGUACCGGGGCUAAACAUAUUACCGAAGCUGUGGAUUGUCCUUUGGACAAUGGUAGGAGAGCGUUCUAAGGGCGUUGAAGCAUGAUCGCAAGGACAUGUGGAGCGCUUAGAAGUGAGAAUGCCGGUGUGAGUAGCGAAAGAUGGGUGAGAAUCCCGUCCACCGAUUGACUAAGGUUUCCAGAGGAAGGCUCGUCCGCUCUGGGUUAGUCGGGUCCUAAGCUGAGGCCGACAGGCGUAGGCGAUGGAUAACAGGUUGAUAUUCCUGUACCACCUAUAAUCGUUUUAAUCGAUGGGGGGGACGCAGUAGGAUAGGCGAAGCGUGCGAUUGGAUUGCACGUCUAAGCAGUAAGGCUGAGUAUUAGGCAAAUCCGGUACUCGUUAAGGCUGAGCUGUGAUGGGGAGAAGACAUUGUGUCUUCGAGUCGUUGAUUUCACACUGCCGAGAAAAGCCUCUAGAUAGAAAAUAGGUGCCCGUACCGCAAACCGACACAGGUAGUCAAGAUGAGAAUUCUAAGGUGAGCGAGCGAACUCUCGUUAAGGAACUCGGCAAAAUGACCCCGUAACUUCGGGAGAAGGGGUGCUCUUUAGGGUUAACGCCCAGAAGAGCCGCAGUGAAUAGGCCCAAGCGACUGUUUAUCAAAAACACAGGUCUCUGCUAAACCGUAAGGUGAUGUAUAGGGGCUGACGCCUGCCCGGUGCUGGAAGGUUAAGAGGAGUGGUUAGCUUCUGCGAAGCUACGAAUCGAAGCCCCAGUAAACGGCGGCCGUAACUAUAACGGUCCUAAGGUAGCGAAAUUCCUUGUCGGGUAAGUUCCGACCCGCACGAAAGGCGUAACGAUUUGGGCACUGUCUCAACGAGAGACUCGGUGAAAUCAUAGUACCUGUGAAGAUGCAGGUUACCCGCGACAGGACGGAAAGACCCCGUGGAGCUUUACUGUAGCCUGAUAUUGAAAUUCGGCACAGCUUGUACAGGAUAGGUAGGAGCCUUUGAAACGUGAGCGCUAGCUUACGUGGAGGCGCUGGUGGGAUACUACCCUAGCUGUGUUGGCUUUCUAACCCGCACCACUUAUCGUGGUGGGAGACAGUGUCAGGCGGGCAGUUUGACUGGGGCGGUCGCCUCCUAAAAGGUAACGGAGGCGCUCAAAGGUUCCCUCAGAAUGGUUGGAAAUCAUUCAUAGAGUGUAAAGGCAUAAGGGAGCUUGACUGCGAGACCUACAAGUCGAGCAGGGUCGAAAGACGGACUUAGUGAUCCGGUGGUUCCGCAUGGAAGGGCCAUCGCUCAACGGAUAAAAGCUACCCCGGGGAUAACAGGCUUAUCUCCCCCAAGAGUUCACAUCGACGGGGAGGUUUGGCACCUCGAUGUCGGCUCAUCGCAUCCUGGGGCUGUAGUCGGUCCCAAGGGUUGGGCUGUUCGCCCAUUAAAGCGGUACGCGAGCUGGGUUCAGAACGUCGUGAGACAGUUCGGUCCCUAUCCGUCGUGGGCGUAGGAAAUUUGAGAGGAGCUGUCCUUAGUACGAGAGGACCGGGAUGGACAUACCUCUGGUGUACCAGUUGUCGUGCCAACGGCAUAGCUGGGUAGCUAUGUGUGGACGGGAUAAGUGCUGAAAGCAUCUAAGCAUGAAGCCCCCCUCAAGAUGAGAUUUCCCAACUUCGGUUAUAAGAUCCCUCAAAGAUGAUGAGGUUAAUAGGUUCGAGGUGGAAGCAUGGUGACAUGUGGAGCUGACGAAUACUAAUCGAUCGAAGACUUAAUCAA